Molecule: ribosomal RNA, 497 nt
Filed under: uncultured bacterium
Lineage: Bacteria
Description: partial 16S ribosomal RNA
Rfam family: Bacterial small subunit ribosomal RNA
Source: RNAcentral
GAUGAACGCUGGCGGCGUGCCUAAUACAUGCAAGUCGAGCGAACAGACGAGGAGCUUGCUCCUCUGACGUUAGCGGCGGACGGGUGAGUAACACGUGGAUAACCUACCUAUAAGACUGGGAUAACUUCGGGAAACCGGAGCUAAUACCGGAUAAUAUAUUGAACCGCAUGGUUCAAUAGUGAAAGACGGUUUUGCUGUCACUUAUAGAUGGAUCCGCGCCGCAUUAGCUAGUUGGUAAGGUAACGGCUUACCAAGGCGACGAUGCGUAGCCGACCUGAGAGGGUGAUCGGCCACACUGGAACUGAGACACGGUCCAGACUCCUACGGGAGGCAGCAGUAGGAAAUCUUCCGCAAUGGGCGAAAGCCUGACGGAGCAACGCCGCGUGAGUGAUGAAGGUCUUCGGAUCGUAAAACUCUGUUAUUAGGGAAGAACAAAUGUGUAAGUAACUAUGCACGUCUUGACGGUACCUAAUCAGAAAGCCACGGCUAACUACGUG